AAGGAUUGAAGGAAAUUGGAAAUCUGUAGAAUAGUCCAGACAUUUUCCUCCCACAACGUCGAGCUAUUGUGGUACCAAUCCUUUCUUUCAUUUUUUACACCCUUACAUUUUUAUCAAACCUCAUUCUAAUUGUAAUAACCAAUUGUUGCCUGGGGCCAAAUAAAAUACAACCAAACCCAAUGAAACUUGGGUCAAAUCCUAACCCAAUUACAAGGCCCAAUUGGCCUAAGGUAACAGAAACCUUAAGCAGCAGAUAGCCUUGGCGCCGCAUGUCCCCACGUCGCCCAUCACCUACGUCGCUACACCCACGAUCAGUAGUUCCGCAUAACGCUGAUUCCACCUGCAAACCACAAAUAGCAAUACAACAAAAAUGUAAAGGAGAGGGUUUUGUCCUUUAUGUAGGCUAUAUAAAGCCAAAUAGAGAUCGGUACAAGGGUUAGAAAAAUUCUGUAUUGAAAAACAUCAAAGAAAAUACAAAAGAGAAAGAAACAGAAAAGCAAAAAAAUAUUUUUGAAGGUGAUUUUAUGUUUUUAUCUUCUUUUUUUUAUUUGUUUUCUUGUUUUCAUGUUUUAAGGAUCUUUUUCUUUUUUCUUUUUAAAAAUAAACAAAACAACAACAAAAAAAAGAAAAGGAGAUACUUACCUGCGAGUGUUUGCUGCCGAAUUGACGUCGAAAAGGGCUGGAGGUUGCAGUGGCUUUGGGGGGGUUUGGGUUAAAGAAAACCCUAGCAGAA
RNAcentral lists this long non-coding RNA (733 nucleotides) under Gossypium barbadense (sea-island cotton). RNAcentral describes it as "long non-coding RNA (GBAR_LNC019075)". The record is from RNAcentral. Lineage: Eukaryota; Viridiplantae; Streptophyta; Magnoliopsida; Malvales; Malvaceae.